CAAAAUUUUAUGUACAUAAUGGCAAGAUGUUACAACAUCAUCGAUAAUACAUGCACAGAUUAGCUAAAUUCCAUGGCCUAGGAAGUAGAGUCCCGUCGAGCUACUUUAGCUGAUAUGUCCCAAGACGUACUACCUCAUCUACUUGAUAAGAGCCUUCCUAGUUGAGUGACAAUUUUUCUUGCUCGGUGGGCUGUGAAACUUUGACUUGUCCUAACACCAGGUCGCCAACUCAAAACUCCUUGAUCUUGACUCAAGCAUUGUAGUAUCUGGCCAUCCUCUGAUGAUAGGCAUGUUGAAAUUUUAUGGUUUCAUGCAUGCAAAAAUUUUUAAAAUGAGUAUGCAGUAGAUUAAAAAUUUAAAUUAAAUCUAAUUUAAUCUAAGCAUGCAUAAGAUCAAAUCUUAAAAUCAUAAGCAGAAUCUACGUAUAUGAGAUAAGAUUUAGAUAUAAAAAUUAAAUAAAAAUAAAUAAAUAAACUUUAUAUCUUGAUGUGAGUCGAUCUACAUCACGAAUUGAUGAUCGUGGAUGUCUUCCGAAGGUCUCUUAAAGCUGCACAAGUGUCAGACCUCUAUGGGUAUCCAUACGAGACUUCGAUCUAAUCAGAAAUUUCUUGAUCUUACCGGAGUGCUAGCUUCCUUGCAGAGAUUGCAUCUUGAUGGUUGAAAAAUCUUCUUUUCUCUCAAAACACUCUUAGAGAAGAAGAAGAAAAUAGGAGGAUGAUGAUCUCUACACUAGAGAUCAUGAGAAGAACUCUUUCUUCUCUUUUCUUCCAAAAACUCAUGCACCAAAUCUCUAUGCUAGAGAUGUAGAUAUUUUUAUCCAACUUUUGGAUAAAGAGAAGAGAAAAAAUUUAUAUCCAAACUAGGGCAAAAGAGAGAGAUAUGGUCCUAACAACCAACCUUUGGUUGUUGGUAAGAGAGAAGGGAUAGAAGCCAAUAUACCUCACCCCAUGAUGAUGCCGUGCCCUCUCUUUCUCUUUCUCUAUUUUUCUCAUGCACACCUCCUGAUUUUUGGCAUCUCAAAACUGAU
RNAcentral lists this long non-coding RNA (1027 nucleotides) under Elaeis guineensis (African oil palm). Its description in RNAcentral is "long non-coding RNA (EGUI_LNC039305)". Lineage: Eukaryota; Viridiplantae; Streptophyta; Magnoliopsida; Arecales; Arecaceae. The record is from RNAcentral.